Molecule: ribosomal RNA, 379 nt
Filed under: uncultured cyanobacterium
Lineage: Bacteria; Bacillati; Cyanobacteriota
Description: bacterial SSU rRNA
Rfam family: Bacterial small subunit ribosomal RNA
Source: RNAcentral
CGAAAGCCUGACGGAGCAAGACCGCGUGAGGGAGGAAGGCUCUUGGGUUGUAAACCUCUUUUCUCAGGGAAGAAGUUCUGACGGUACCUGAGGAAUCAGCCUCGGCUAACUCCGUGCCAGCAGCCGCGGUAAUACGGAGGAGGCAAGCGUUAUCCGGAAUCAUUGGGCGUAAAGCGUCCGUAGGGGGCUCGUCAAGUCUGCUGUCAAAGCUCGGAGCUCAACUCCGACCCGGCAGUGGAAACUGGUGGGCUAGAGGGCGACAGGGGUAGAGGGAAUUCCCAGUGUAGCGGUGAAAUGCGUAGAGAUUGGGAAGAACACCGGUGGCGAAAGCGCUCUACUGGGUCGCACCUGACCCUCAGGGACGAAAGCUAAGGGAGCG